AACCGAAGGCCGAUAAAGGGCAUUCCGGAAAUGCAAACAAAACUUGAAGAGAGAUCAUAUAUGCAAGCGCAAAUUACUAGCGCUCGGCCUAUUGUCCUUCAAAGUUCAAACUGCAGGCGCAGAUCCGAGGUGUUUGGGACUGGAAACCCUGGUUUCUCUACCUACUUUCAGAAUCCUUCAGCUCUCUCUACCUUUCAAUCAGUCAAUCGCUCGCUCACUAGCAGGAGAAAGGAACGAUUUUAAUAUACGAGCUAUUUGAAGCAGUGUACAUAUUCACUAGACAAAAUGCCUUCUCAAAAAAUUGAGACAGGUCAUCAGGACACAGUCCAUGAUGUGGUUAUGGAUUACUAUGGCAAGCGCAUUGCAA
RNAcentral lists this unclassified non-coding RNA (367 nucleotides) under Hevea brasiliensis (rubber tree). The record is from RNAcentral. Lineage: Eukaryota; Viridiplantae; Streptophyta; Magnoliopsida; Malpighiales; Euphorbiaceae.